UUGGUGGGGUAACGGCCUACCAAGGCGACGACGGGUAGCCGGCCUGAGAGGGCGACCGGCCACACUGAGACUGAGACACGGCCCAGACUCCUACGGGAGGCAGCAGUGGGGAAUAUUGCGCAAUGGGCGAAAGCCUGACGCAGCGACGCCGCGUGGGGGAUGAAGGCCUUCGGGUUGUAAACCCCUUUCAGCAGGGACGAAGCGAAAGUGACGGUGGGAGCAGAAGAAGCACCGGCCAACUACGUGCCAGCAGCCGCGGUAAUACGUAGGGUGCGAGCGUUGUCCGGAAUUACUGGGCGUAAAGAGCUCGUAGGUGGUUUGUCGCGUUGUUCGUGAAAACCAGGGGCUUAACCUCUGGCGUGCGGGCGAUACGGGCAGACUGGAGUACUGCAGGGGAGACUGGAAUUCCUGGUGUAGCGGUGGAGUGCGCAGAUAUCAGGAGGAACACCGGUGGCGAAGGCGGGUCUCUGGGCAGUAACUGACGCUGAGGAGCGAAAGCGUGGGGAGCGAACAGGAUUAGAUACCCUGGUAGUCCACGCCGUAAACGGUGGGUACUAGGUGUGGGUUUCCUUCCUUGGGAUCCGUGCCGUAGCUAACGCAUUAAGUACCCCGCCUGGGGAGUACGG
This 626-nucleotide ribosomal RNA is filed under the name uncultured bacterium. RNAcentral describes it as "bacterial SSU rRNA". It matches the Rfam family "Bacterial small subunit ribosomal RNA", at positions 249 to 885 of the family's 1533-position model. The record is from RNAcentral.